Long non-coding RNA from Piliocolobus tephrosceles (Ugandan red Colobus), 519 nucleotides. RefSeq lists it as uncharacterized. The transcript has 4 exons. Lineage: Eukaryota; Metazoa; Chordata; Mammalia; Primates; Cercopithecidae. The record is from RefSeq and is a predicted model, not a curated record.
CUCCUGCCUUAGCCUCCCGAGUAGCUGGGACUACAAGCACCUGCCACCUCGCCCAGAACAGCUGAUGCUUCUUGAACUAUACAUACCGGAUUGAAUCCUCGCAAAGGGAAAGUCGGAGAUCAGAGAUCAGCCUCGUCUGCAAGGUCAGGCAGGAGUCAUAUACCAGCAUCUUUAUCUUCACCGAAAAGAAUCCAUGUGGACAAUGUCUUCCCUUCCACACCGUUCACCGGAGACGUGAAAAUCUGCAGCUGACAUUCCUGGCUGUACUCAAGUUUCUGAGGAAAGGGCUCAACAGAGAAGUAAUUCCUUCCAGGGACUUCGAGCUAUGACCUUGGGAACUGAAAUCUGGACACAAAGGGAACGGGUGUUUGCCUUCACCUCAUGAAAGAACCAUUGGUUUUUCACGGCUCAUUAAGAAAGCUCGGGGAGGUGACUCAACGCCUGUCAUCCCAGCACUUUGAGAGGCCGAGGUGGGCAGAUCACGAGGUCAGGAGUUCGAGACCAGCCUGACCAACACGG